AUCCAGCUGACGAGUUUCAAUUAGGAUGAAACGCGCGUCCUGGAU
This is a non-coding RNA of Schistosoma mansoni, 45 nucleotides long. The record is from Rfam. Lineage: Eukaryota; Metazoa; Platyhelminthes; Trematoda; Strigeidida; Schistosomatidae.